This 510-nucleotide ribosomal RNA is filed under the name uncultured bacterium. RNAcentral's name for it is "partial 16S ribosomal RNA". It matches the Rfam family "Bacterial small subunit ribosomal RNA", at positions 28 to 507 of the family's 1533-position model. The record is from RNAcentral.
GACGAACGCUGGCGGCGUGCUUAACACAUGCAAGUCGAACGAAGAGCGAUGGAAGCUUGCUUCUAUCAAUCUUAGUGGCGAACGGGUGAGUAACGCGUAAUCAACCUGCCCUUCAGAGGGGGACAACAGUUGGAAACGACUGCUUAUACCGCAUACGAUCUAAUCUCGGCAUCGAGGAUAGAUGAAAGGUGGCCUCUACAUGUAAGCUAUCACUGAAGGUGGGGAUUGCGUCUGAUUAGCUAGUUGGAGGGGUAACGGCCCACCAAGGCGAUGAUCAGUAGCCGGUCUGAGAGGAUGAACGGCCACAUUGGGACUGAGACACGGCCCAGACUCCUACGGGAGGCAGCAGUGGGGAAUCUUCCGCAAUGGACGAAAGUCUGACGGAGCAACGCCGCGUGAGCGAUGACGGCCUUCGGGUUGUAAAGCUCUGUUAAUCGGGACGAAAGGCCUUCUUGCGAAUAGUGAGAAGGAUUGACGGUACCGGAAGAGAAAGCCACGGCUAACUACGUG